RNAcentral lists this ribosomal RNA (639 nucleotides) under Staphylococcus marylandisciuri. Its description in RNAcentral is "partial 23S ribosomal RNA". It matches the Rfam family "Bacterial large subunit ribosomal RNA", at positions 2238 to 2878 of the family's 2925-position model. Lineage: Bacteria; Bacillati; Bacillota; Bacilli; Caryophanales; Staphylococcaceae. The record is from RNAcentral.
AUCGUGGUGGGAGACAGUGUCAGGUGGGCAGUUUGACUGGGGCGGUCGCCUCCCAAAAGGUAACGGAGGCGCUCAAAGGUUCCCUCAGAAUGGUUGGAAAUCAUUCAUAGAGUGUAAAGGUAUAAGGGAGCUUGACUGCGAGACUUACAAGUCGAGCAGGGUCGAAAGACGGACUUAGUGAUCCGGUGGUUCCGCAUGGAAGGGCCAUCGCUCAACGGAUAAAAGCUACCCCGGGGAUAACAGGCUUAUCUCCCCCAAGAGUUCACAUCGACGGGGAGGUUUGGCACCUCGAUGUCGGCUCAUCGCAUCCUGGGGCUGUAGUCGGUCCCAAGGGUUGGGCUGUUCGCCCAUUAAAGCGGUACGCGAGCUGGGUUCAGAACGUCGUGAGACAGUUCGGUCCCUAUCCGUCGUGGGCGUAGGAAAUUUGAGAGGAGCUGUCCUUAGUACGAGAGGACCGGGAUGGACAUACCUCUGGUGUACCAGUUGUCGUGCCAACGGCAUCGCUGGGUGGCUAUGUAUGGACGGGAUAAGUGCUGAAAGCAUCUAAGCAUGAAGCCCCCCUCGAGAUGAGAUUUCCCAACUUCGGUUAUAAGAUCCCUCAAAGAUGAUGAGGUCAAUAGGUUCGAGGUGGAAGCGUGG